GCGCAUCGUAGUCGUGAUCAUAAAUCUCCACGUCGUCAUCGUCCUCGUCGCUGCUGUAAACACUGCAGGGAAAGAGAAAGCGGGGAAGAGGGACGGGGCAAUCGAAGAAGAUAUAUGUACAAAACGUGGAGCGGCCCUGUUUCCCCACCACUGCAUGUUCAGACCUGCUCGGGUCCUGUCACAGCCACAUGCUCAACUAACUCACCUGGCCGGCUCUUGGCCAAUCAGAAGGAAGCACGGCAUGCGUGGAAGCCCGUGCUCACCUGGCUUUUGUGUCACACUUUAGGUGCUAUGUGUGUUUAUGUAAGCCUUGUGCUUAUCAUUACUGUUUAAUGAUUGAUAAAGGACAAGGAAGAGGUCAGGGGCGUGUCGAUCUUCACCCCAAAAAAAGAAAGAAAGAAAGAAAGAAAAGGGGAUCUUGGGG
Ictalurus punctatus (channel catfish) is the source of this 424-nucleotide long non-coding RNA. RefSeq lists it as uncharacterized. NCBI's taxonomy places the organism in Eukaryota, Metazoa, Chordata, Actinopteri, Siluriformes, Ictaluridae. The record is from RefSeq and is a predicted model, not a curated record. The transcript is spliced from 2 exons.